Molecule: ribosomal RNA, 440 nt
Filed under: uncultured bacterium
Lineage: Bacteria
Description: bacterial SSU rRNA
Rfam family: Bacterial small subunit ribosomal RNA
Source: RNAcentral
GAUGAACGCUGGCGGUAUGCCUAACACAUGCAAGUCGUACGAGAGUUUUUAACUCUAGUGGCGGACGGGUGAGUAACACGUGAGAAUUUGCCUUUAGAGGGGGACAACAAUUGGAAACGAAUGCUAAUACCCCAUAUGCUUUCGAGUGAAAUGGAUUUUAUCCGCCUAGAGAGAAGCUCGCGGCUGAUUAGCUUGUUGGUAAGGUAAGAGCUUACCAAGGCGACGAUCAGUAUCNGGUUUGAGAGGACGAUCAGACACACUGGAACUGAGACACGGUCCAGACUCCUACGGGAGGCAGCAGUGGGGAAUUUUCCGCAAUGGGCGAAAGCCUGACGGAGCAAUACCGCGUGAGGGAAGAAUGCCUAUGGGUUGUAAACCUCUUUUUUCAGGGAGGAAUAAAAUGACGUGUACCUGAAGAAUAAGCAUCGGCUAACUCCGUG